This 77-nucleotide transfer RNA is filed under the name Candidatus Bathyarchaeota archaeon. RNAcentral describes it as "tRNA-Ala". It matches the Rfam family "tRNA". Rfam says of the family: Transfer RNA (tRNA) molecules are approximately 80 nucleotides in length. Their secondary structure includes four short double-helical elements and three loops (D, anti-codon, and T loops). Lineage: Archaea; Thermoproteati; Candidatus Bathyarchaeota. The record is from RNAcentral.
GGGCUGGUAGUUCAGUUGGUAUGAAUACUGCCUUGGCAUGGCAGGGGUCGGGGGUUCAAAUCCCUCCCAGUCCACCA